CCGUCCAUCAGCCAGAGCUGUCACUGUCGGACCGGCCCCGGCAGCUUGCAGCCCCGCGAGACGCUCAGUACCACGUUCCUGCGCUGCCUCACUGCCGUGCCCUGGCCCAACGCGCCAGCAGCCACGUGCGGUGCCCGAUUCAGCCCGACUGCAGCAGCCACGGUCCGGCAGCCCCCGACCUCGUGUCGGGCCCCGCGCUCGGGGACUGAAGCUGCGCCCUUCCACCCAACGCGGUCACCCGAGGGCGGCGUAGCCGGGAGCGCUCCUCGCGGCUUUGUUACGGCCUACGGGACACCGCCCAAGGGCGCAGCGAAUCCGGGCACGGCCGGGGCCGGCAGCGACCUUUGUGCGCGCUGGCAGCGGCUGCCGGUGGGGAGGGGCGGGGGCCGGAGCCAGGUCGCUCACACCACGCGCGGGGGCGCUACGGCACGGCCCGCAUUACGGAGGAGGCCGCGCUCCCCGACGCGGGCACCGGUUAACGGUCCGCGGGCGGCUCGGGCCCAGCCCCGUCUCUCCACCUCCUCCGCCGGCCGCACCGGGACGGAGACCGCGGCCGGGAUCGGAGCGGGUCGCCGGGGGAGGAGGAGCGCCGGGCUGGGCCUGGCCGCUCACGCACUCACCUGCCACCACUGCCGCCAGGCCCGGCUCCGCCCCCGCCACACGCCGUGCGCGCUACGUCUGCGCCCUGCGUAUGCUGACGUCACCACGCCUCCCGCGGGGCCGCGCACGCAGCACCGCCGUACACCUCCCUGGCGGCAGGGGGCGCCGCACCCCGCCCACGGCGCCGAAAUCAGAGGCGAACUCGCACUGUGCCGUCACUUUAUUGCCUCCCGUAACAGCGCGGCCGGCCCGAGGCGCUCCACCGCGGCACGGAGCGGCCUUGUCCCGCCCGCCACAUCCGCCUGCGGCCUCCACGUUCGCUCCGCCACGACAGCCCCAAGCCGUUCCUCCGGCUGCACGCAAGGCACUUGCCCCGCUGAUCGCGCCGCAGGCUCAUACCGGAAGCGGCCAAAGGGACAGCCCACUUCGUCCCGCUGUCACUCCUGUACUCUCACACUAGCGCUGCCUUGA
RNAcentral lists this long non-coding RNA (1071 nucleotides) under Pavo cristatus (Indian peafowl). RNAcentral describes it as "lncRNA (ENSPSTG00000014871.1)". The record is from RNAcentral. Lineage: Eukaryota; Metazoa; Chordata; Aves; Galliformes; Phasianidae.